CCUGCUGAGCUCAGUUCUGGAGAGGGGUAGGGGACACAAUGCUUCUCAGAUGUGGGACCUUCAAAGCGCUAGUCCUCUGACAAUGCAACUGGGGAGCUAAGCGGAGGCAUGAAGGCUGUUCCCUUUCUGUAAGCCAGUGUCACCCCCAAAAGAAGGCUGCUUUGAUUUGUUAUCCAAGUCUCACUGGCCCUGUCCUGCUGAGUUAAUUUCCAUAGGGGGAAGGGAACACUGCUCAGAGUUGUGACAUUGGGAGUGAAUCUCCCUCAGAGACUCCAGUCCAGGGCUUGUGUAGGCAUUACUACAGAGCUAAGGGGAGGAGUGCAGCUUUCCCCACCUCCCACCCCCAGCAGAAGGCUUUCUCAAUCUGUUUGCCAAAGUCUGGGUAGCCCUACCAUUUUGAGCUUGCUCCUGCAAUGGGGACAGCUGGCUGCACAGAAUGUGAACCUGUGGUGCACUCCUCCCUGGGGAACCUAGAGUUGGAGACUCUAGCAGAGACUGACUGGCAUGGCUCUGGAGUAGGAGCCACAUUAUCCCCAUCUAGUGCCUGAUUACCCUGCUCCCAAGUAGGAAAGCCACUAGCCCCAUCCACCCAACCUGGUCGCCCUGCCCUAUCGAGCUUGUGUCAUGUGGAAAGGUCUGUGGGGCAUGGCCAGCUUAGGCCCACAAUACGGUUUUUCUUCAUAAGACUCUGGAAAAAGUCCAGGCAACCUCAAAAGGUGGCAGAGUAGCCAAUAAAUGGACACUGACCUCAGGGAGCCUUGAACCUUUUUUAUUGGUUGCCCCCACCCCCUCAGAGCUACAAGAUACUAAUUUCUGACAACGGCCUGGCCCCCUCCCCCACACACCCAGGCCCAGGAAAUGCAGCCACAAACAGUGACUAGCGUGGUGGCUCCAGACAGAUAGCCUAAGGCUGGUUACACAAAACGUCUGACAUCAACUUGCACCAGAACCCCAGCCAAGUGGGCCCAGAGCCAACAUAACUAGCAGCAGGCUUCAAACCACACCAGAGCUUGACCCAACUAGCCAAACAUAUGACACAGCCAAAGAGGUACUGUGGCAGGCAUCACACACUGUUGCAAACAACUCCGAAUUGGAGGGCAGCCCCUGCACAAUGACUCAUACAUGGUCAAUGAGGUCUAUUUUAUAGCCAGUCAGUCUGAGGGUUAACUCUACCCACAAAUGGGCCAAUAGCAUUCAAGACUCAAAUACAACAGGAGGGGGCAAAUAACCUACAUAAGACUCAUUUCUGGAGCACCUAUCUCAGAUGAUCUAGGAGACUGCACCACUAAGACCCACAAAGCACCUACAUCAGAAAGGCCUUAUAACAAUCUUGUGAGUCUGAGCAGAUCUACCUAAUACACAGAGACAAACACAAAAAAGGCAGAAAAAAAUGGGAGACAAAGAAAUAUGUCCCCAAUGAAAGAACAAAACAACCAAGAUACCAGAUGCAGUUUAAAACAAUGGUUAUAAGGAUGCUCAAGGACCUUAGGGAGAGGAUGGAUGACCUCAGUAAGAACUUAACAAUGAGAUAAUAAGCAUUAAAAAAACAUAGAAACCAUAAAAAAGAACCAGUCAGAAAUGAAGAAUAAACUAUAUGAAAUGAAGAAUACACUGGAAGGAAUCAACAGAAGGUUAGAUGAAGCAGAGGAUCAAAUAAGCUAUUUAGAAGACAAGAUAACUACAAGCACCCAAAAAUAACAACAAAAAGGGAAUAAAAAAAUGAGUCUGAGGGACCUGUGGGACAUCAAGAGUAACGACACCGGCAUCAUAGGAAUACCAGAAAAAAGAAGAAGCAAGGGAGAGAGAACCUGUUUGGAGAAAUAAUGGCUGAACUCUUCCCUAACCUGUGGAAGGAAAAAGUCACACAAGUUCAGAAAACUCAGAGUCCCAAUCCCAAAGAGCGCCACACCAAGCCAUAUUAUAAUUAAAAUGGCAGAGGCUAAAGACAAAGAGGAAAUCUUAAAUGCAGCAAGA
Phyllostomus discolor (pale spear-nosed bat) is the source of this 1974-nucleotide long non-coding RNA. RefSeq lists it as uncharacterized. NCBI's taxonomy places the organism in Eukaryota, Metazoa, Chordata, Mammalia, Chiroptera, Phyllostomidae. The transcript is spliced from 2 exons. The record is from RefSeq and is a predicted model, not a curated record.